This 5236-nucleotide long non-coding RNA is filed under the name Salmo salar (Atlantic salmon). Its description in RNAcentral is "lncRNA (ENSSSAG00000092815.1, ENSSSAG00000094828.1)". The stretch from base 5174 to 5236 matches the Rfam family "tRNA", at positions 1 to 61 of the family's 71-position model. The record is from RNAcentral. Lineage: Eukaryota; Metazoa; Chordata; Actinopteri; Salmoniformes; Salmonidae.
GUCUAAACUUGACUGGUACUUUAUAUGCAAAAAACCCCCACUUGUACAUGUCUGAAAUAGGACAAAUUUAAGCACCCACUUAAUUAGCACUAUACAGUACAUACCAGGGACAUAAUCAAAAUUUGUGAUGGUGGAUCAAUUCAAGGGACAAAUUCCAAGGAGAUAUAGCCAUAAUCUAGUUGAAUUGCAUCAGCUUUUUUGUUUGUUCCUAAUCAAGCACAAAUUCCGAACCGUAAAAUGCCUCUCCAGUCCUCGAGAAGACAUUGUUUCUCUGAAUGCUUCGAAACACCAGGGAUCCUAAUCAUUUUGCCACAGUUGUAAUAUGACUCUGAUUGGAGUCAUUUGGAAAAAAAUGGGCUGCCUGGGGGCUGCCUCUGUAGAAUUCGCCCUGCUGAUAAUUGCCCCGGUCUGUAAUUUCCCAGCAUUGAGAUUGGUGUGUGUGUGGAUCCUAAUGAUCAGAGGUGUUCAUCCACUCAUCCCAGUUAGAGGUAUUUCUCUCAUGGAACAUCUGAGCGCUUCCUUGCAAAGCCAGAAAGUCACAGCUGAAGAGUUUUCUUCCAUUGGCUCGAAAGUGGAUACUGGUCGAUAAGUGCUCACAUGAUCAUUCAUUGAACGGUCAAUCAGGGGCCGUGUCCAAAUAAACGGUCUACAGACAGUAUGGAAUUCACUGCACAAAUUUCUGGAAUUUUAUAGUCACAAUGCAUUGGAAGAGGGGGGCUGUGGCUGAACGGCGUUCGCGCUUGUUGUAUACAUCACCUUGUUGUUGUCCGACUGGCCAGAGUAGCCCGGAGCUCCCCCAUCUGACAGCGGAGUCGAAGGAGCACAGCAAGAGGAGCAUGGCAAUCAACGAUCGUCGCAUGUCACAAGCCGUGGAAGCCGAAGACAGCGGCCUCCAGCAACGCAGUCUACAGUCCCAACGAGAGGCCCGGAGCGGAUACCAACAACCAAUAGUUUCUCAGUCCUGAUGCCUGUUCUUCCUGCACCUUCGCCGCUGGGGGUACCUGUAUCUGCGGCCACUGUGCCUACUCCUAAGAUUUCGAAGUCGACAUUGGCAACCUGCUCUGGAUCGAGCGGUGCUUCUACAUCUCCAAAUUGAUUCUAUCAUAGUCCAUGUGGGUUUUAAUGACAUUAUGAAGGGCAGCUCUGAACAGUUGAAACUGGAUUUUAAAAGAGCUGAUUGACUCUCUGCUAGACACUAAUAAAAUACCCGUCUUAUCUGGCCCUGUGCCCUCUCAAUCGUGGCAUUGAACACUUUAGCAAGAUUCUCUCUUCACAUCUGGUUACAUGAUUAAUGCAGCCCAAUGGGUGUAGCUUUUGUGGACAAUUUCGAUACCUUUUGGAAACUAAAACAUGCUUUAUAAGGAGGAUGGGAUCCAUCCAAAACACUUGGGUUUCCUAGAUCCUUUCACAGCAUUAUAAGGCUGCGUUGAGACAAUGACUUAAGCCCAGCUCAGUUAAUCCCUACCAUUGUGAUGCUGAGUUGUCAUAAUUCUUCAGCAAAUGUACAUUAUACCAGGGGUUUUGGUAGACAAUGCAAGUAACCUAAUUUAAGUUCCUCUAAGUUCCCUGAAUGCCUCUGCUGAUCGUACAGCUAUUGUAUGCAGUAAUCAUGUGCCUAUGAACCAGUUUUAUACUGUUAGCACUGAGGCGGUGUGCCCUAGUAGGAAGUCCACUGUGUGCAGCUCACCCUGCACUAACAUAAAUAACAUGAGCAUAUCUACUUCUGCUAAGCUUCCCAGUAAAGCAAUCAAUCAAAACAAGCAUCCCAGAAGGUGCUCAAAAUAGCCCACGUUAACAUAUGUAGCUUAAGAAACAAGUUCCAUGAAAUCAAUAAUUUGCUAGUACCAGAUGACAUUCAUAUUAUCUCUGAAACUCACUUAUAUAGAUAAUACCUUCGAUACAGUGGUUGCAAUACAAGGUUAUAACAUUUACAGAAAAGACAGAAAUGCCAAUGGUGGAGGUGUUGUUGUUUAUAUUCCCGAACCACAUUCCUGUAAAGAUUAGAGACGAUCUCAUGUUAAAUACUGUUGAAGUAAUAUGGUUACAGGUUCAUCUGCCUCACCUAAAGUUCAUUCUUGUGGGAAGCUGCUAUAGACCAAAGUGCUAAGUCAGUAUCUGGAUAACAUAUGUGAAAUGCUUGAUAAUGUGUGUGAUAUCAACAGAGGUAUAUUUUCUGGGUGGCUUAAAUAUUGACUGGCUUUCAUCAAGCUGACCACUCAAGAAAAAGCUUAAAACUGUAACCAGUGCCUGGUUCAGGUUCUCAGUCAACCUACCAGAGUAGUUACAAACAGCACAGGAAUGAAAUCAACAUGUACUGAUCACAUCUUUAAUGCUGCAGAAAUUUGCUUGAAAGCAGUAUCCAGAUCCAUCGGAUGUAGUGAUCACAAUAUAGUAGCCAUAUCUAGGAAAACCAAAAGUUCCAAAGACUGGGCCUAACAUAUUGUAUAAGAGGCCAUACAAUAUGAUUUGUAGUGAUUCCUAUGUUGUUGAUGUAAAGAAUAUUUGUUGGUCCGUGGUGUGUAAUGAGGAACAAACAGACACUGCACUUGACACAUUUAUGAAACUGCUUAUUCCAGUUACUAUUAAGCAUGCACCCAUUAAGAAAAUGACUGCAAAAACUUAAAUCCCAGUGGAUUGAUGAGGAAUUUAAAAAAUGUUAUGGUUGAGAGGGAUGAGGCAAAAGGAAUGGCAAAUAGAUCUGGCUGCACAACCGAUUGGCAAACGUAUUGCAAAUUGAGAAAUCAUGUGGCUAAACUGAAUAAAAAGAAGAAGAAACUACACUAUGAAACAAAGAAAUGACAAAGAAUGACAGUAAAAAGCUUUGGAGCACCUUAAAUGAAACGUUGGGAAAAAAGGCAAACUUGGCUCCAUCCUUCAUUGAAUCAGAUGGCUCAUUCAUCACAAAACCAACUGAUUACGUUAACUACUUUAAUCAUUUUUUUAAUUGGUAAGAUUAGCAAACUUAGGCAUGACAUGGCAGCAACCAACGCUGACACUACACAUCCAAGUAUAUCUGACCAAAUUAUGAAAGACAAGCAACGUAAUUUUGAAUUCCGUAAAGUGAGUGUGGCAGAGGUGGAAAAUGAUUUUGUCUAUCAACAAUGGACAAGCCACCAGGGUCUGACAACUUGGAUGGAAAAUUACUGAGGAUAAUAGCAAAGUGUGUGCUCCCAGGCUUGGAGGGAAGCAAAAGUAAUUCCGCUACCUAAGAAUAGUAAAGCCCCCUUUACUGGCUCAAAUAGCCGACCAAUCAUCCUGUUACCAACCCUUAGUAAACUUGGGGGGAAAAAAUAGUUUGACCAGAUACAAUGCUUUUUUACAGUAAACAAAUUGACAACAGACUUUCAGCAAGCUUAUAGGGAAGGAUAUUCAACAAGCACAGCACUUUCAAAAAUGACUGAUGAUUGGCUGAGAGAAAUUGAUAAAAAGAUUGUGGGGGCUGUCUUGUUAAGACUUCAGUGCAGCUUUUGACAUUAUCAAUCAUAGUCUGCUGCUGGAAACACUUGUGUUAUGGCUUUACACCCCCUGCUAUAUUGUGGAUAAAGAGUUACUUGUCUAACAGAACAGAGGGUGUUCUUUAACGGAAGCUUUUCCAAAAUAAUCCAGGUAGAAUCAGGAAUUCCCCAGGCAGCUGUCUAGGCCCCUUACUUUUUUCAAUCUUCACUAAUGACAUGCCACUGGGUUUGAGUAAAGCCAGUGUCUACGAAUGCAGAUGACAACACUAUACGUCAGCUACUACAGUGACUGAAAUGACGGCAACACUUAACAAAGAGCUGCAGUUCAUUUCAGAGUGGGUGGCAAGGAAUAAAUUAGACCUACAUAUUUCUUAAUCUAAAAGUAUUCUAUUUGGGACAAAUCAUUCACUAAACCUCAACUAAAUCUUGUAAUAAAUAACGUGGAAAUAGAGAAAGUUGAGGUGACUAAACUUCUUGGAGUAACCCUGGAUUGUAAACUGUCAUGGUCAAAAGAUAUCAAUACAACAGUAGCUAAGAUGGGGAGAAGUCUGUCCAUAAUAAAGCGCUGCUCUACCUUAACAGCACUAUCAUCAAGGCAGGUCCUACAGGCCCUAGUUUUGUUACACCUGGACUACUGUUCAGUCGUUUGGUCCAUCUCUCCUGGCUCAAAGUGGAGGAGAGAUUGACUUCAACACUACUUGUAGUUAUGAGAGGUAUUGGCAUGUUGAAUGCGCCGAGCUGUCUUUUUGAACUGCUGGAGCACAACUUGGACACCCAUGCAUACCCUAAAAAGACAUGCCAUCAGAGGUCUCUUCACAGUACCCAAGUCCAGAACAGACUAUGGGAGGCGCACAGUACUACAUAGAUCCAUGACUACAUGGAACUCUAUUCCACAUCAAGUAACUGUUUUAUGGAACAGCGGGGACUGUGAAGCAACGAACACAUGCAUACACACACGAUAAUAUAUGCACUAUAUUGUAAUGUUUUAAAAAUUGUAUAGCUGCCUUCAUUUAACUGGACCCCAUGAAGAGUAGCUGCGAUCCAUAAUAAAUACAAAUUACACUUGCAGUAUGAUCUGUUUUCAAAGCAGAGCCAAAUCCUCUAGUUAAAUAGUGGACCUUCAUGGUCAUGGCUUGCUAAGACUCCAAACAGGCUUGCAACCGCAGGGCCAGCCUGGGGACCUUGUAUAAUUGACCGGGCUGGAAAGGGACUGGAUGGGGACGUUAAUAAAAUUGAGCCAAUAUAUUCACAAGUCGGUGUAAGAUCGUUCACAUGACAGAAAACCAAAAUAAACAGUCCUAGGAGCAAAAACAGGUUCAAAUCAGAGUGACUGAUAACCAUAUACUGUACUUCAUUGAAACGGAAGAAUAAGAUGAGAGAAAGUUAAAUAUCAGGAGGGCAACUCAAAUGAAGGAGGAGUGCUGAAGGGCUAGAGUGAGUCACUGCUGGAAACUUUGAUUGGAUCAUAUACGUUGACAUACAUUUAGAAAACGCAAUCCUUCUGGGGAACUGGAGAGUGCACGCUCUCGUGUUUGUCAACAUCAGCACCUCUACAUGUUGGGUUGGGGAGUCUAACUUAUGUAAGGGGGUGAUAGAGGACAUGCAUGCUGGUUGGGGUACCAUUUUUGCACACAACAUGACAGUGCAAUUUGGUAGUUCAGGGGGAACAACAGUCCCUCUGGUGAGGAUGAGAGAAAUCGGGGUGUGGAACAAAAGGUUCCCAUGUGGCUCAGUUGGUAGAGCAUGGCACUUGCAAUGCCAGAGUUGUGGGUUCGAUUCCC